CCCAUCCCGAACACGACCGUUAAGCCCUCCAGCGCCGAUGGUACUUGGACCGCAGGGUCCUGGGAGAGUAGGACGUUGCCAAGC
RNAcentral lists this ribosomal RNA (84 nucleotides) under Paenibacillus artemisiicola. Lineage: Bacteria; Bacillati; Bacillota; Bacilli; Caryophanales; Paenibacillaceae. The record is from RNAcentral. RNAcentral also lists the same sequence under 2 other names.